GAUGAACGCUGGCGGCGUGCCUAAUACAUGCAAGUCGAGCGAACAGACGAGGAGCUUGCUCCUCUGACGUUAGCGGCGGACGGGUGAGUAACACGUGGAUAACCUACCUAUAAGACUGGGAUAACUUCGGGAAACCGGAGCUAAUACCGGAUAAUAUAUUGAACCGCAUGGUUCAAUAGUGAAAGACGGUUUUGCUGUCACUUAUAGAUGGAUCCGCGCCGCAUUAGCUAGUUGGUAAGGUAACGGCUUACCAAGGCGACGAUGCGUAGCCGACCUGAGAGGGUGAUCGGCCACACUGGAACUGAGACACGGUCCAGAGGCCUACGGGAGGCAGCAGUAGGGAAUCUUCCGCAGUGGGCGAAAGCAUGACGGAGCAACGGCGCGUGAGUGAUGAAGGUCUUCGGAGCGUAAAACUCUGUUAUUAGGGAAGAACAAAUGUGUAAGUAACUAUGCACGUCUUGACGGUACCUAAUCAGAAAGCCACGGCUAACUACGUG
Molecule: ribosomal RNA, 497 nt
Filed under: uncultured bacterium
Lineage: Bacteria
Description: partial 16S ribosomal RNA
Rfam family: Bacterial small subunit ribosomal RNA
Source: RNAcentral